AAACUUUCAACAACGGAUCUCUUGGCUCUC
Molecule: non-coding RNA, 30 nt
Filed under: Mus musculus (house mouse)
Lineage: Eukaryota; Metazoa; Chordata; Mammalia; Rodentia; Muridae
Also listed under: 3 other names
Source: RNAcentral